Molecule: ribosomal RNA, 460 nt
Filed under: uncultured bacterium
Lineage: Bacteria
Description: partial 16S ribosomal RNA
Rfam family: Bacterial small subunit ribosomal RNA
Source: RNAcentral
CCUACGGGUGGCAGCAGUGGGGAAUAUUGGUCAAUGGGCGCGAGCCUGAACCAGCCAAGUAGCGUGAAGGAUGACUGCCCUACGGGUUGUAAACUUCUUUUAUCAAGGAAUAAAGUGAGGCACGUGUGCCUUUUUGUAUGUACCUUAAGAAUAAGGAUCGGCUAAAUCCGUGCCCGCAGCCGCGGUAAUACGGAGGAUCCGAGCGUUAUCCGGGUUUAUUGGGUUUAAAGGGCGCGUAGAUGGGUGGUUAAGGCAGUUGGGAAAGUUUGCGGCUCAACCGUAAAAGUGCAUUUGAUACUGGUAGUCUUGAGUACAGUUGAGGUAGGCGGAAUUCGUGGUGUAGCGGUGAAAUGCUUAGAUAUCACGAAGAACUCCGAUUGCGAAGGCAGCUUACUAAACUGCCACUGACAUUGAUGCUCGAAAGUGUGGGUAUCAAACAGGAUUAGAUACCCUAGUAGUC